This 126-nucleotide small RNA is filed under the name Yersinia enterocolitica. RNAcentral describes it as "RtT sRNA". It matches the Rfam family "RtT RNA". Rfam says of the family: This family represents a bacterial cis-regulatory element known as RtT RNA. The exact function of RtT is unknown although it is thought that it may be involved in changing the cellular response in relation to amino acid starvation. The record is from RNAcentral. Lineage: Bacteria; Pseudomonadati; Pseudomonadota; Gammaproteobacteria; Enterobacterales; Yersiniaceae.
UACUACACACUACCGUGUGGGUGAGACCCUGCGUUCAGGUUCGAGCCGAGCGGAGCGAGACAGCAACGCGCCAGCGUUGACCCGAAGGGCGAGGCCAGCGGCCGAGUCAUCCCGCACGACCCACCA